GAUGAAGAACGUAGUGAAAUGCGAUAAGUAAUGUGAAUUGCAGAAUUCAGUGAAUCAUCGAAUCUUUGAACGCACAUUGCGCCCGCCAGUAUUCUGGCGGGCAUGCCUGUUCGAGCGUCAUUUCAACCCUCAGGCCCCCAGUGCCUGGUGUUGGGGAUCGGCCCAGCCUUCCUGUAAGGCCGCCGGCCCCGAAAUCUAGUGGCGGUCUCGCUGUAGUCCUCCUCUGCGUAGUAGCACAACCUCGCAGUUGGAACGCGGCGGUGGCCAUGCCGUUAAACACCCCACUUCUGAAAGUUGACCUCGGAUCAGGUAGGAAUACCCGCUGAACUUAAGCAUAUCAAUAGAGGA
Molecule: unclassified non-coding RNA, 348 nt
Filed under: soil metagenome
Description: partial contains 5.8S ribosomal RNA, internal transcribed spacer 2, and large subunit ribosomal RNA
Rfam family: 5.8S ribosomal RNA (bases 1-120)
Source: RNAcentral